CCCUUAGAUGUUCUGGGCCGCACGCGCGCUACACUGACGAAUGCAACGAGCUUAUAACCUUGGCCGAAAGGUCUGGGUAAUCUCCAAAUUUCGUCGUGAUGGGGAUAGAUUAUUGCAAUUAUUAAUCUUCAACGAGGAAUUCCUAGUAAACGCAAGUCAUCAGCUUGCAUUGAUUACGUCCCUGCCCUUUGUACACACCGCCCGUCGCUACUACCGAUUGAAUGGUUUAGUGAGUAUCACGGACUGUCGCGCUUGCCAGGGCAACCUGGUUUGCGCGAGGGGAAGUGACGCUAACUUGACCAUUUAGAGGAAGUAAAAGUCGUAACA
RNAcentral lists this ribosomal RNA (327 nucleotides) under uncultured eukaryote. RNAcentral describes it as "partial 18S ribosomal RNA". It matches the Rfam family "Eukaryotic small subunit ribosomal RNA", at positions 1470 to 1796 of the family's 1831-position model. The record is from RNAcentral.